GACGAACGCUGGCGGCGUGCCUAACACAUGCAAGUCGAGCGGAGUCGAUCGACGGAAGCCUUCGGGCGGAAGAUGGUUGACUUAGCGGCGGAUGGGUGAGUAACGCGUGGGCAACCUGCCUCGAAGACCGGGAUAACAGCCCGAAAGGGCUGCUAAUACCGGAUGUGGUCAAGGAUCCGCAUGGAUUUUUGAUUAAAGGGGAAACCCGUUUCGAGAUGGGCCCGCGUCCUAUCAGCUAGUUGGUGAGGUAAAAGCUCACCAAGGCGACGACGGGUAGCCGGCCUGAGAGGGUGACCGGCACACUGGAACUGAGACACGGUCCAGACUCCUACGGGGGGCAGCAGUGGGGAAUCUUCCACAAUGGGCGAAAGCCUGAUGGAGCGACGCCGCGUGAGCGAAGAAGGCCUUCGGGUUGUAAAGCUCUGUCUGGAGGGACGAAGGAAGUGACGGUACCUCCGGAGGAAGCCACGGCUAACUACGUAG
RNAcentral lists this ribosomal RNA (483 nucleotides) under uncultured bacterium. RNAcentral describes it as "bacterial SSU rRNA". It matches the Rfam family "Bacterial small subunit ribosomal RNA", at positions 28 to 508 of the family's 1533-position model. The record is from RNAcentral.